RNAcentral lists this ribosomal RNA (459 nucleotides) under uncultured bacterium. RNAcentral describes it as "partial 16S ribosomal RNA". It matches the Rfam family "Bacterial small subunit ribosomal RNA", at positions 338 to 795 of the family's 1533-position model. The record is from RNAcentral.
CCUACGGGUGGCCGCAGUGAGGAAUAUUGGUCAAUGGGCGGAAGCCUGAACCAGCCAAGUCGCGUGCGGGAUGAAGGCCCUACGGGUCGUAAACUGCUUUUGCACGGGGAUAACACCCUCCACUUGUUGAGGUCUGCAGGUACCGUGCGAAUAAGGGCCGGCAAAUUCCGUGCCAGCAGCCGCGGUAAUACGGGAGUCCCGACCUUUAUCCGGAUUUAUUGGGCUUAAAGGGAGCGUAGGCGGGCGUUAAAGUCAGCUGGAAAAUCGCGCGGUUAAACCGCGCCCCGCAGUUGAAACUGGAUGCCUUGAGUACACAACAGGCAGGCGGAAUUCGUGGUGUAGCGGUGAAAUGCAUAGAUAUCACGAGGAACCCCGAUUGCGAAGGCAGCUUGCCGGGGUGCGACGGACGCUGAGGCUCGAAGGUGCGGGGAUCAAACAGGAUUAGAUACCCCUGUAGUC